RNAcentral lists this long non-coding RNA (330 nucleotides) under Daucus carota (carrot). Its description in RNAcentral is "long non-coding RNA (DCAR_LNC003514)". Lineage: Eukaryota; Viridiplantae; Streptophyta; Magnoliopsida; Apiales; Apiaceae. The record is from RNAcentral.
UGGGUACAAAGUUCUAAAACAAAAUGGUCGGUUAAGACACAAAUAAGAAGCUAAGUAGUAACCAGUUACGAGAGAUGGACCGGUAAAGUUCGUCGGAAAAAUUCGCCGGAGGUUCGGACGGAUUUUGGCACUAUAACCUUACUUGGGCAGCCCUUACAAAGGCUUGGAAGUGGUUGUGGUUGAGCUCGGUUAGUGUAAGAAAGCUUGUAGAUCAAAACCUUGAAUAUAUGAAUAUAUAUUUGAGAGAGAGAAGGUUUUGGUGGAGAAGUAUAUUUGAGAGAGAAUAUAAACUUGUAUUUCUUGAUAACUUCUCAAAAUCUCAGCACUUUC